UAUUUACAGGAGCAAAUUUUUAAAACCAACU
This 31-nucleotide non-coding RNA is filed under the name Rattus norvegicus (Norway rat). Lineage: Eukaryota; Metazoa; Chordata; Mammalia; Rodentia; Muridae. The record is from RNAcentral.